GCUCACCCUGCUGACAACUGUCAUGCAUUCCUGUCUCUAACAUGUCUUCAGGACUCAGAAUCAUGAUCAUCAGAUUCAGCUAAUUGCAUGAUAACAAUUAGUCCGGCCAUGCAUAUUUCUGUCAGCCACAGGUAGGUAGUUUUUGUUUUUGUUUUUCUCUGAAGUCUGAUUUCUUGUGAAAUUAAUCGAUCACUUGAUCACAUGUACAGUUGAUUUGAUGACACAGCAUGCACCUCUCAAGGGUAGGUUUUGAUUUGUGUGGAUAUAUAUAUUGGGCUUUUGCAGGUAUCAUAUAUAGGGCAUAAUUAGGGGCAUCUCUGAAGUGAUAUCCAUUGCUUUAGGGGUUGGCGCCAUGUGAUUAAUGCCGUGGGCCUUUCUAGCUCUAGGUGGAACAUCGAUGUGAGAACGAACCGAUGAAGGAGACGGACCAUGGAGGCAGCAAUUAUCCAGUAAUGCUAGCUAAUACUAAUGUGUGAUUCAUAAUGCAUGUGGCUAAUAUCAUCUCAAAUUGAGUGCCUCUGGUGCAUUAUUUUUCAAUGCUCCUAAUUCUAUGGCCUCAUCAACAUACAGUUUUAUAUUUCUCAAAAUCAUGACCAUUUCUAAAUCACACGUGUUGUUGAACUAUUAUGUGUGUGUGUGAUCCAAUCUAGUAUCAAAGUUAGAGAAAUAUAUUGGAUUGACUGCAAAUAGCACUACGAC
This 699-nucleotide long non-coding RNA is filed under the name Oryza brachyantha (malo sina). RNAcentral describes it as "long non-coding RNA (OBRA_LNC001310)". The record is from RNAcentral. Lineage: Eukaryota; Viridiplantae; Streptophyta; Magnoliopsida; Poales; Poaceae.